This 400-nucleotide unclassified non-coding RNA is filed under the name soil metagenome. Its description in RNAcentral is "partial contains 5.8S ribosomal RNA, internal transcribed spacer 2, and large subunit ribosomal RNA". The stretch from base 1 to 122 matches the Rfam family "5.8S ribosomal RNA", at positions 35 to 154 of the family's 154-position model. The record is from RNAcentral.
GAUGAAGAACGCAGCGAAAUGCGAUACUUGGUGUGAAUUGCAGAAUCCCGUGAACCAUCGAGUCUUUGAACGCAAGUUGCGCCUCAAGCCAUUAGGUUGAGGGCACGUCUGCCUGGGCGUCACAUAUCGUUGCCUGAUGCCAGUUUCCUCGUGAUGGGUGACUGUGCAGGGCGAAUGAUGGCUUCCCGUGAGCAUUGUUGCCUCAUGGUUGGUUGAAAAUUGAGUCCUUGGUAGGGAGCGCCGUGAUAGAUGGUGGUUGAUUGACGAACGAGACCCAAUCAUGUGAGACCCCUACCGAAUUUGGCCUUCAUGACCCACAUGCGUCUUUGGAACGCUCAUGACGAGACCUCAGGUCAGGCGGGGCUACCCGCUGAGUUUAAGCAUAUCAAUAAGCGGAGGA